UACGUAGGGUGCGAGCGUUAAUCGGAAUUACUGGGCGUAAAGCGUGCGUAGGUGGUUUGUUAAGUUGGAUGUGAAAUCCCCGGGCUCAACCUGGGAACUGCAUUCAAAACUGACAAGCUAGAGUAUGGUAGAGGGUGGUGGAAUUUCCUGUGUAGCGGUGAAAUGCGUAGAUAUAGGAAGGAACACCAGUGGCGAAGGCGACCACCUGGACUGAUACUGACACUGAGGUGCGAAAGCGUGGGGAGCAAACAGG
Molecule: ribosomal RNA, 253 nt
Filed under: uncultured bacterium
Lineage: Bacteria
Description: partial 16S ribosomal RNA
Rfam family: Bacterial small subunit ribosomal RNA
Source: RNAcentral